CCAGACUCCUACGGGAGGCAGCAGUGAGGAAUAUUGGUCAAUGGCCGGAAGGCUGAACCAGCCAAGCCGCGUGAAGGACGAAGGUGCCAAGCAUUGUAAACUUCUUUUGUCAAGGGACAAAAUCAGGCUCGAGAGCCUGACCGAGGGUACUUGAAGAAAAAGCAUCGGCUAACUCCGUGCCAGCAGCCGCGGUAAUACGGAGGAUGCGAGCGUUAUCCGGAUUUAUUGGGUUUAAAGGGUGCGUAGGUGGUUAAUUAAGUCAGCGGUGAAAGUUUGUGGCUCAACCAUAAAAUUGCCGUUGAAACUGGUUGACUUGAGUAUAUUUGAGGUAGGCGGAAUGCGUGGUGUAGCGGUGAAAUGCAUAGAUAUCACGCAGAACUCCGAUUGCGAAGGCAGCAUACCGGCGCGCAACUGACGCUCAUGCACGAAAGCGUGGGUAUCGAACAGGAUUAGAUACCCCCGUA
RNAcentral lists this ribosomal RNA (464 nucleotides) under uncultured bacterium. RNAcentral describes it as "bacterial SSU rRNA". It matches the Rfam family "Bacterial small subunit ribosomal RNA", at positions 331 to 792 of the family's 1533-position model. The record is from RNAcentral.